Molecule: long non-coding RNA, 690 nt
Filed under: Gallus gallus (chicken)
Lineage: Eukaryota; Metazoa; Chordata; Aves; Galliformes; Phasianidae
Description: lncRNA (ENSGALG00010007410.1)
Source: RNAcentral
GUCUUCCCAUGGGCUCCCCAAUUUUGCUCAUCUCAGUGCUGUGGAGGAGGGAUGGGACAGAAGGCAGAACAGCAUUCUGCUGCUGGAGGGUACAGUGGAGACCCGUCUGCACCUCUCUUUGAAGCUGGAAGGUCAUCUUCAUGAACCAUCACUAGAACUAUCUACAUCCCAGAUCAAGUUGUGCCCAGCACCGUCCAGGCUGCUGCCACAAGAUGUGCACAGGCUUUCCCUACGCUGCAGCAGCCCCAGAAUGCUAAGCUGAUUUCUGAGACAGCUGAAAAUAAAUCAGAGCAGGCCUGAGGCUUCUCUACUCAACUUCAGUGCUCCUACUGGCUAGCUGGGCUCCUUUUCUAGCCAAUGGAUAAAGAGUAGGACAUGAAAUUUGACUUCUACUCUGGCUCAGUUUUGGGAGCUGCUGGUGUUUUCUCCACUCCCUGGAAGUAUAACCAGAAAUGUUAACUAAUUGAGCUGCCUAAAAUCAUGUGACAUGAGCGUUCCUCCUGUGUUCCUAGAUGUGCUUCUGUGCCAAGCCCAGCUUGAGUAAUCAGUGCUUCUGUAUUCCACCAGCAGUUUUUUAAGCUUUUUGAUGUCUUCUUUUGAAUGUAAUCUUUUUUCUACUAACAUGAGUGAAUAAUUCAAUGCAUAUGUUUUGGUAGUGGGAAAUCUAUGAGAAUGCCAAGCAAAUCAGUG